Molecule: ribosomal RNA, 816 nt
Filed under: Rhodococcus sp. MZ0398J1
Lineage: Bacteria; Bacillati; Actinomycetota; Actinomycetes; Mycobacteriales; Nocardiaceae
Description: bacterial SSU rRNA
Rfam family: Bacterial small subunit ribosomal RNA
Source: RNAcentral
GUCGAGCGGUAAGGCCUUUCGGGGUACACGAGCGGCGAACGGGUGAGUAACACGUGGGUGAUCUGCCCUGCACUUCGGGAUAAGCCUGGGAAACUGGGUCUAAUACCGGAUAUGACCUCCUAUCGCAUGGUGGGUGGUGGAAAGAUUUAUCGGUGCAGGAUGGGCCCGCGGCCUAUCAGCUUGUUGGUGGGGUAAUGGCCUACCAAGGCGACGACGGGUAGCCGACCUGAGAGGGUGACCGGCCACACUGGGACUGAGACACGGCCCAGACUCCUACGGGAGGCAGCAGUGGGGAAUAUUGCACAAUGGGCGAAAGCCUGAUGCAGCGACGCCGCGUGAGGGAUGACGGCCUUCGGGUUGUAAACCUCUUUCAGCAGGGACGAAGCGCAAGUGACGGUACCUGCAGAAGAAGCACCGGCUAACUACGUGCCAGCAGCCGCGGUAAUACGUAGGGUGCAAGCGUUGUCCGGAAUUACUGGGCGUAAAGAGUUCGUAGGCGGUUUGUCGCGUCGUUUGUGAAAACCAGCAGCUCAACUGCUGGCUUGCAGGCGAUACGGGCAGACUUGAGUACUGCAGGGGAGACUGGAAUUCCUGGUGUAGCGGUGAAAUGCGCAGAUAUCAGGAGGAACACCGGUGGCGAAGGCGGGUCUCUGGGCAGUAACUGACGCUGAGGAACGAAAGCGUGGGUAGCGAACAGGAUUAGAUACCCUGGUAGUCCACGCCGUAAACGGUGGGCGCUAGGUGUGGGUUCCUUCCACGGAAUCCGUGCCGUAGCUAACGCAUUAAGCGCCCCGCCUGGGGAGUACGGCCGCAAGG